RNAcentral lists this long non-coding RNA (340 nucleotides) under Ananas comosus (pineapple). Its description in RNAcentral is "long non-coding RNA (ACOM_LNC041253)". Lineage: Eukaryota; Viridiplantae; Streptophyta; Magnoliopsida; Poales; Bromeliaceae. The record is from RNAcentral.
UGUGGACCUCCCUCUCAUAAGUCAUUUUAUAUAUAUAUAUAUAGUAGGGCUACUAUACUCGUAUGAGUAUUGGACCCUUCGUACUCAUAAGUUGUUUUCGAUGAUGUGGCUUCCGAAUCGACGAUCCACUCCGUUAAAUAUGAUCUAGAGUAUUUAAAAUUUCUAAAAAAUAAAUUUCGUAAUUUUUCGAAAUCAUAAUAAAGUCCAUCAAACGAGCAUAAAAUGAACGGUCAAAAUCGAACGACGUCUUAAAAAUGGAUGAUCGGAUCCUUCAAUUUAAGAUCGGAGUUAUUGAUCUUUAUUUAGAUAGUGAAUAGAAUUUUCUAUCAAAAAUUCAACC